AGCUCCAAUAGCGUAUAUUAAAGUUGUUGCAGUUAAAAAGCUCGUAGUUGAAUUUUUUCUCGGAGUGAUGGGUCCUUCACAUGGUGUUGGUACCACUAUCGUGUUCUGGGAAUAAUUGAGGAGAACCUGUGUGGCAUUAGGUUGUUGUGCAGGGGAUCCUUAUCAUUUACUGUGAAGAAAUUAGAGUGUCCAAAGCAGGCUUAUGCCGCUGAAUACAUUAGCAUGGAAUAAUAAGAUAGGGCCUUGAUACUAUUUUGUUGGUUUGCGCAUCAAGGCAAUGAUUAAUAGGGAUAGUUGGGGGUAUUCGUAUUCCAUUGUCAGAGGUGAAAUUCUUGGAUUUCUGGAAGACGAACUACUGCGAAAGCAUUUACCAAGGAUGUUUUCAUUAAUCAAGAACGAA
Molecule: ribosomal RNA, 400 nt
Filed under: phytoplankton environmental sample
Lineage: Eukaryota
Description: partial small subunit ribosomal RNA
Rfam family: Eukaryotic small subunit ribosomal RNA
Source: RNAcentral